Molecule: long non-coding RNA, 214 nt
Filed under: Gossypium raimondii (Peruvian cotton)
Lineage: Eukaryota; Viridiplantae; Streptophyta; Magnoliopsida; Malvales; Malvaceae
Description: long non-coding RNA (GRAI_LNC008518)
Source: RNAcentral
UUUUAAUUUUAAUUUAAUGCUCGUAUUUUUUUCGUUUUAAUAUUAUUAGUAUUUUGUGCAUUUUUAUAUUUUUGUAUUUAUAUUUUUAAUUUUAAAUCUAAUUUAAUUUUAAUUUUAUUUUAUUUUGAAUACUUUUAAUAAAUAAGACAACGAAUCGAUUUAACAUAAACCCGUUGAUUUCAUCGCUAUGUUCAGUGAAUAUCAUUGGUUCGCG